This is a long non-coding RNA of Salvia splendens (bonfire salvia), 518 nucleotides long. RefSeq lists it as uncharacterized. The transcript has 2 exons. The record is from RefSeq and is a predicted model, not a curated record. Lineage: Eukaryota; Viridiplantae; Streptophyta; Magnoliopsida; Lamiales; Lamiaceae.
UAAAGAGAUAGAUAUGGAUUAGCGAUAGAAUAGUGGAGUCGGAUGUCAUUAGCCACUGUUGCCAUGAAACAAACUGAAUGCUCCACUACAAAACUUUCCACCAAGGAAGAAAAUGUUGGAGAAAAUGCAAGAAAGAGUAGAAGUUGAGGAGGUUGUGGAAGAAUUUGAGUUGUUAACGAAGAGAGUUCAGAGGGAAACGCUGAAGAAAAUCUUGGAGCAAAAUGGUGCAACUGAGUAUCUGUCUCAAUGGGAUCUCAACGGAAGAACUGAUCCAGACACCUACAAGGCUUGUGUCCCCGUCGUCACACAUACCGAUAUCGAGCCCUAUAUUCGACGGAUCGCUGAUGCCGGAAUCCUCCAUAACUCAUCCAUCAUCACCGUCCAACCCAUCCCCGCCAGUUUGUAUUUUGUUCAUGGCUCAAUCUGUUUGGAAUACUUCUUUUUAUUUGCCGAAGUACUAUAUUUGUCCACCAAAAAUAUUUUUAAUAUGAGAAAUAAAAUUAAUAAAUUAAGAGAAA